AUUGAACGCUGGCGGCAUGCCUUACACACGCAAGUCGAACGGCAGCACGGGUGCUUGCACCUGGUGGCGAGUGGCGAACGGGUGAGUAAUAUAUCGGAACGUACCUUAUUGUGGGGGAUAACGCAGCGAAAGCUGUGCUAAUACCGCAUAAUCCCUAAGGGGGAAAGCGGGGGACCGUAAGGCCUCGCGCAAUUAGAGCGGCCGAUACCUGAUUAGCUAGUUGGUGAGGUAAAGGCUAACCAAGGCAACGAUCAGUAGCUGGUCUGAGAGGACGAUCAGCCACACUGGGACUGAGACACGGCCCAGACUCCUACGGGAGGCAGCAGUGGGGAAUUUUGGACAAUGGGGGCAACCCUGAUCCAGCAAUGCCGCGUGAGUGAAGAAGGCCUUCGGGUUGUAAAGCUCUUUUGUCAGGGAAGAAACAGCAGCUCUAACACAGUUUGCGAAUGACGGUACCUGAAGAAUAAGCACCGGCUAACUACGUGCCAGCAGCCGCGGUAA
This 501-nucleotide ribosomal RNA is filed under the name uncultured bacterium. RNAcentral describes it as "partial 16S ribosomal RNA". It matches the Rfam family "Bacterial small subunit ribosomal RNA", at positions 30 to 523 of the family's 1533-position model. The record is from RNAcentral.